This 640-nucleotide ribosomal RNA is filed under the name uncultured bacterium. Its description in RNAcentral is "bacterial SSU rRNA". It matches the Rfam family "Bacterial small subunit ribosomal RNA", at positions 9 to 647 of the family's 1533-position model. The record is from RNAcentral.
GAGUUUGAUCCUGGCUCAGGACGAACGCUGGCGGCGUGCUUAACACAUGCAAGUCGAACGGAGCACCCCUGAAGGAGUUUUCGGACAACGGAUGGGAAUGCUUAGUGGCGGACUGGUGAGUAACGCGUGAGGAACCUGCCUUCCGGAGGGGGACAACAGUUGGAAACGACUGCUAAUACCGCAUGAUGCGUUGGAGCCGCAUGACUCUGACGCCAAAGAUUUAUCGCUGGAAGAUGGCCUCGCGUCUGAUUAGCUAGUUGGUGAGGUAACGGCCCACCAAGGCGACGAUCAGUAGCCGGACUGAGAGGUUGGCCGGCCACAUUGGGACUGAGAUACGGCCCAGACUCCUACGGGAGGCAGCAGUGGGGAAUAUUGGGCAAUGGGCGCAAGCCUGACCCAGCAACGCCGCGUGAAGGAAGAAGGCUUUCGGGUUGUAAACUUCUUUUAAGGGGGAAGAGCAGAAGACGGUACCCCUUGAAUAAGCCACGGCUAACUACGUGCCAGCAGCCGCGGUAAUACGUAGGUGGCAAGCGUUGUCCGGAUUUACUGGGUGUAAAGGGCGUGCAGCCGGAGAGACAAGUCAGAUGUGAAAUCCACGGGCUCAACCCGUGAACUGCAUUUGAAACUGUUUCCCUUGAGU